GAUGAACGCUAGCUACAGGCUUAACACAUGCAAGUCGCGGGGCAGCAUCGGGGUUGCUUGCAACCCCUGAUGUCGACCGGCGCACGGGUGAGUAACGCGUAUCCAACCUGCCCUUCACCACGGGAUAACCCGGCGAAAGUCGGACUACUACCGUAUGUUGUCCAUUGACUGCAUCCGCUUUGGACGAAAGGAUUGGCGGGGAAAGGACGGGGCGGCGUCGGAUUAGCUUGCCGGCCGGGUAACGGCCGACCAAGGCGACGAUCCAGAGCUGUUCUGAGAGGAUGAUCAGCCGCACGGGGACUGAGACACGGCCCAGACUCCUACGGGAGGCAGCAGUUGGGAAUAUUGGACAAUGGGCGAAAGCCUGAUCAAGCAAUGCCGCGUGAGUGAUGAAGGCCUUAGGGUUGUAAAGCUCUUUUACCCGGGAUGAUAAUGACAGUACCGGGAGAAUAAGCUCCGGCUAACUCCGUG
This 471-nucleotide ribosomal RNA is filed under the name uncultured bacterium. RNAcentral's name for it is "partial 16S ribosomal RNA". It matches the Rfam family "Bacterial small subunit ribosomal RNA", at positions 28 to 507 of the family's 1533-position model. The record is from RNAcentral.